UCGUAUCGUCCCGGAAACACCGCACAAGGAAGUUCAUUCCACAGCUUUGUAGCACGUGGAAGAAAGCUCCUUGAAAACCGCACUGUGGAGGACCGCCACACAUCCAGAUGGUGGGGAUGAUAUCCUAACUUGUGGCGUGUCGUGCGAAGAAUGACGUUAUAUGACAGAAUUUUGUUUGUCUUGUACUUCGCUCCUUAUAACGGAAUACGGAUUACAAUGAUUUUGGUUAUCUGUGACUAAUCAAGCGUCGUUUGUAUGUUAGCGAAUCCUUAAGUUAUUCGAUAGUCAGAAUUCAUUCAUGAUAGUGGUUGUAUGGAAUCUUGAAUAGAAACUGCUGUUUUCUUCAGAUUAACAUGUUUUUUAUUGGGCUAUUUACAGUCUUUAAUACAGUUAAAUAUAAAAGUUGAAAGUUGCUUCUUAAAAUAUAAUCGUUUAGGGUGUACAUGAGUUAAUGAGAGGAUACGGUACGCACGUGUUACUGGUGUUGAAAACGCGGCAUUCAGUUUGUGUCGUAGGUACUAAUAAUUACAUUUUUUUGUUGAAGAGCAACAACUAUGUAGUGCUUAUGGUAAUAUUAAAACAACUUGUGUGUAACAUAUUUAUUUUAAUUUAUGAUUCAAUUAUUAUUCUUAUUACUUAUACCUUUAUUUAUAUUCAUAUUGUUCUAUAUUUCAAAAUUUUAUUUACUCAGCUUAGUUUUACCCUUCAUGCCAAUCGGUGUUAAGAGAUAUAGGAAAACUAUUUAUGGAUAUAUAGAAUCACGUAUGAAACGAUAUAGUUGGGUUCGUUAUAGUCUCGAUAAUUUUGAGAUGUGUGGUGAAGAUUGAACUAACGUCUUCUAUAGGUGUCUUAUUAAUGCUGUACGUACAAUCGACAAAAUUUAAUCGUGACCCACAUAAGUCAUUUUCCUACAGUCAUAAUAAACAAACUGGCGUCAACAUACGUUUUCGAAGUAACUUUAAUCAUAUUAUCAGAUACUGACGGUCAAUCAAUUGUCAUAGUACAUUAUUUUUCGUGAAAACGAUUGUAAUGACUAAAUUUUGUCGAUGGUACAUUAACAUCUAGGUUUUAAUAUUAUUUAUAAUUAUUAUAGCUUGGGCCCUUAAAUAGGUAACGAUAUAUAACUAUUGUAUAUAGAAAUAAUUACAUGAUUUUGACUCGGAAUUAGGUUUUAAAGAUACUUCUGUAAAAAGCUGUACAAUUUAUUCGGCGUCAUAUAAGGCCGUGUAGUGCGUUUCGGAUCGCUCUUUGUCUAUUCAGUAAACAACAUCAAAGGCGCUAUUUGGUCGAUAUCAUGUAUUAAAAUAAAUUUUUGUACAGCUUAAAUUGAAAUGUUAUUUAAUAUAUUGUAAUAUAAAUUGUUGCAUUUUCUGGUGGUUGAAACGAUGGACGUCCAAGUAUAGAAUGAAGUUCCAUCACAUCUCUUUUCAAGGCGGAAAUCGGACAGCCAGGAUCAUGGCUCUGGACUCACUCACUCUUGCGAUAUAUUGUAUGUGAACGAGUGAACUACAGAUCGCGUGCCUGCGAUCAGUGGCGUCAUCCGAUUCCCCUCUUGUGAACAUUCUGAGCUGCGGAACGCUGGACGAUGUAGAUUUAUAUUUUGCUGUAUAAUAAGUGUAUAUAAUAUGCAACUGUUAAUUGUAAAUUAUUGUAAUAAAGUUUAAUGAUAA
This is a long non-coding RNA of Leptidea sinapis, 1670 nucleotides long. RefSeq lists it as uncharacterized. NCBI's taxonomy places the organism in Eukaryota, Metazoa, Arthropoda, Insecta, Lepidoptera, Pieridae. The transcript has 2 exons. The record is from RefSeq and is a predicted model, not a curated record.